RNAcentral lists this ribosomal RNA (491 nucleotides) under uncultured bacterium. Its description in RNAcentral is "partial 16S ribosomal RNA". It matches the Rfam family "Bacterial small subunit ribosomal RNA", at positions 29 to 506 of the family's 1533-position model. The record is from RNAcentral.
AGUGAACCCUGGCGGUAGGCCUAACACAUGCAAGUCGAACGGCAGCACAGUAAGAGCUUGCUCUUACGGGUGGCGAGUGGCGGACGGGUGAGGAAUACAUCGGAAUCUACUUUUUCGUGGGGGAUAACGUAGGGAAACUUACGCUAAUACCGCAUACGACCUACGGGUGAAAGCAGGGGAUCUUCGGACCUUGCGCGAUUGAAUGAGCCGAUGUCGGAUUAGCUAGUUGGCGGGGUAAAGGCCCACCAAGGCGACGAUCCGUAGCUGGUCUGAGAGGAUGAUCAGCCAAACUGGAACUGAGACACGGUCCAGACUCCUACGGGAGGCAGCAGUGGGGAAUAUUGGACAAGGGGCGCAAGCCUGAUCCAGCCAUACCGCGUGGGUGAAGAAGGCCUUCGGGUUGUAAAGCCCUUUUGUUGGGAAAGAAAAGCAGCAGGUUAAUACCCCGCUGUUCUGACGGUACCCAAAGAAUAAGCACCGGCUAACUUCGG